This 383-nucleotide ribosomal RNA is filed under the name uncultured bacterium. Its description in RNAcentral is "bacterial SSU rRNA". It matches the Rfam family "Bacterial small subunit ribosomal RNA", at positions 28 to 412 of the family's 1533-position model. The record is from RNAcentral.
GAUGAACGCUGGCGGCGUGCUUAACACAUGCAAGUCGAACGGGCCAUAUUCGUAUGGUUAGUGGCAGACGGGUGCGUAACACGUAGGUGACCUGCCUCGGAGUGGGGAACAACUCCGCGAAAGCGGAGCUAAUACCGCAUAUGCUCAGCGAUUCGUUUUGUUGAGUAAAGGCGCAAGUCGCUUCGAGAUGGGCCUGCGGCGGAUUAGCUAGUUGGUGGGGUAACGGCCUACCAAGGCGAUGAUCCGUAGGGGGCGUGAGAGCGUGGCCCCCCACAUUGGCGACUGAGACACGGGCCGAAACUACCUACGGGAGGGCAGCAGUGAGGAAUAAUUGCGCAAUAGGGCGGAAAGACCUGACGCAGCAACGCCGCGUGAGGGACGAA